RNAcentral lists this ribosomal RNA (460 nucleotides) under uncultured bacterium. RNAcentral's name for it is "partial 16S ribosomal RNA". It matches the Rfam family "Bacterial small subunit ribosomal RNA", at positions 338 to 795 of the family's 1533-position model. The record is from RNAcentral.
CCUACGGGAGGCAGCAGUGAGGAAUAUUGGUCAAUGGACGAGAGUCUGAACCAGCCAAGUAGCGUGAAGGAUGAAUGCCCUAUGGGUUGUAAACUUCUUUUAUAUGGGAAUAAAACGUUCCACGUGUGGGAUUUUGUAUGUACCAUAUGAAUAAGGAUCGGCUAACUCCGUGCCAGCAGCCGCGGUAAUACGGAGGAUCCGAGCGUUAUCCGGAUUUAUUGGGUUUAAAGGGAGCGUAGGUGGAUUGUUAAGUCAGUUGUGAAAGUUUGCGGCUCAACCGUAAAAUUGCAGUUGAAACUGGCAGUCUUGAGUACAGUAGAGGUGUGCGGAAUUCGUGGUGUAGCGGUGAAAUGCUUAGAUAUCACGAAGAACUCCGAUUGCGAAGGCAGUUCACUGGACUGCAACUGACACUGAGGCUCGAAAGUGUGGGUAUCAAACAGGAUUAGAUACCCUUGUAGUC